This 470-nucleotide ribosomal RNA is filed under the name uncultured Glomus. RNAcentral describes it as "SSU rRNA". It matches the Rfam family "Eukaryotic small subunit ribosomal RNA", at positions 569 to 1043 of the family's 1831-position model. Lineage: Eukaryota; Fungi; Glomeromycota; Glomeromycetes; Glomerales; Glomeraceae. The record is from RNAcentral.
AGCAGCCGCGGUAAUUCCAGCUCCAAUAGCGUAUAUUAAAGUUGUUGCAGUUAAAAAGCUCGUAGUUGAAUUUCGGGGUCAGUAGGUCGGUCGUGCCACUGGUAUGAACUGGUUUUACUGAUUCCUCCCUCUUGAAGAACUGUAAUGCCAUUAAUUUGGUGUUGCAGGGAAUCAGGACUGUUACUUUGAAAAAAUUAGAGUGUUUAAAGCAGGCUUUAGCUUGAAUACAUUAGCAUGGAAUAAUGAAAUAGGACGUUUGAUCCUAUUUUGUUGGUUUCUAGGAUCGACGUAAUGAUUAAUAGGGAUAGUUGGGGGCAUUAGUAUUCAAUUGUCAGAGGUGAAAUUCUUGGAUUUAUUGAAGACUAACUACUGCGAAAGCAUUUGCCAAGGAUGUUUUCAUUAAUCAAGAACGAAAGUUAGGGGAUCGAAGACGAUCAGAUACCGUCGUAGUCUUAACCAUAAACUAUGCC